Molecule: ribosomal RNA, 497 nt
Filed under: uncultured bacterium
Lineage: Bacteria
Description: partial 16S ribosomal RNA
Rfam family: Bacterial small subunit ribosomal RNA
Source: RNAcentral
GAUGAACGCUGGCGGCGUGCCUAAUACAUGCAAGUCGAGCGAACAGACGAGGAGCUUGCUCCUCUGACGUUAGCGGCGGACGGGUGAGUAACACGUGGAUAACCUACCUAUAAGACUGGGAUAACUUCGGGAAACCGGAGCUAAUACCGGAUAAUAUAUUGAACCGCAUGGUUCAAUAGUGAAAGACGGUUUUGCUGUCACUUAUAGAUGGAUCCGCGCCGCAUUAGCUAGUUGGUAAGGUAACGGCUUACCAAGGCAAAGAUGCGUAGCCGACCUGAGAGGGUGAUCGGCCACACUGGAACUGAGACACGGUCCAGACUCCUACGGGAGGCAGCAGUAGUGAAUCUUCCGCAAUGGGCGAAAGCUUGACGGAGCAACGCCGCGUGAGUGAUGAAGGUCUUCGGAUCGUAAAACUCUGUUAUUAGGGAAGAACAAAUGUGUAAGUAACUAUGCACGUCUUGACGGUACCUAAUCAGAAAGCCACGGCUAACUACGUG